UUCCGGUUGAUCCCGCCGGAGGUCACUGCUAUUGGGGUUCGACUAAGCCAUGCGAGUCUAUGGACUUCGGUCCAUGGCGGACGGCUCAGUAACACGUGGCUAACCUACCCUCGGGUGGGGGAUAACCUCGGGAAACUGAGGAUAAUACCCCAUAGGAGAAGAGGUCUGGAAUGAUCCUUCUCUGAAAACAUAUGUGCCCGAGGAUGGGGCUGCGUCUGAUUAGGUAGUUGGUGGGGUAACGGCCCACCAAGCCUACGAUCAGUACGGGCCUUGAGAGAGGCAGCCCGGAGAUGGGGACUGAGACACGGCCCCAGGCCCUACGGGGCGCAGCAGGCGCGAAACCUCCGCAAUGCACGAAAGUGCGACGGGGGGACCCCAAGUGCUUACGCACUGCGUAGGCUUUUCUAAAGUGUAAAAAGCUUUAGGAAUAAGGGCUGGGCAAGUCCGGUGCCAGCAGCCGCGGUAACACCGGCGGCCCGAGUGGUGACCACUUUUAUUGGGCCUAAAGCGUCCGUAGCCGGUCCAGUAAGUCCCUGUUUAAAUCCUACGGCUUUACCGUAAGGCUGGCACGGAUACUGCUGGACUUGGGACCGGGAAAGGGCGAGGGUACUUCAUGGGUAGCGGUGAAAUGUGUUGAUCCCUGGAGGAACACCUAUGGCGAAAGGUCUCGCCUGGAACGGGGUUCAAUGUGAGGGACCAAAGCCAGGGGCUCGAACCGGAUUAUAUACCCGGGUAGCCCGGGUCGUAAACUCUGCGGACUAGGUGUAAGGUAGGCCCCGUGCCCAUCUAGUGCCGAAGGGAAGCCGUUAAGUCCGCCGCCUGGAGAGUACGGUCGCAAGACUGAAACUUAAAGGAAUUGGCGGGGGAGCACUACAACGGGUGGAGCCUGCGGUUUAAUUGGAUUCAACGCCGGGCAUCUCACCAGGGGCGACAGCAUGAUGACGGCCAGGUUGACGACCUUGCCUGAAGCGCUGAGAGGUGGUGCAUGGCCAUCGUCAGCUCGUACCGCGAGGCGUCCUGUUAAGUCAGGUAACGAGCGAGACCCGUGCCCUAUGUUGCCACUUCUUCCUCCGGGAAGAAAGCACUCAUAGGGGACCGCUGGCGCUAAGCCAGAGGAAGGAGCGGGCAACGAUAGGUCCGCAUGCCCCGAAUCCCCUGGGCUACACGCGGGCUACAAUGGUUGGGACAAUGGGAUGCGACCCCGAAAGGGGAAGCUAAUCUCCUAAACCCAGCCGUAGUUCGGAUCGUGGGCUGUAACUCGCCCACGUGAAGCUGGAAUCCGUAGUAAUCGCAGUUCAUAAUACUGCGGUGAAUGUGUCCCUGCUCCUUGCACACACCGCCCGUCACACCACCCGAGUUGGGUUGAGGUGAGGCUUUGGCCUUUGGCUAAGGUCGAACCUGGGCUCAGCGAGGGGGGUGAAGUCGUAACAAGGUAACCGU
This 1440-nucleotide ribosomal RNA is filed under the name uncultured archaeon. RNAcentral describes it as "bacterial SSU rRNA". It matches the Rfam family "Archaeal small subunit ribosomal RNA". The record is from RNAcentral.